This 254-nucleotide ribosomal RNA is filed under the name uncultured bacterium. RNAcentral's name for it is "partial 16S ribosomal RNA". It matches the Rfam family "Bacterial small subunit ribosomal RNA", at positions 524 to 776 of the family's 1533-position model. The record is from RNAcentral.
UACGUAGGGCGCAAGCGUUGUCCGGAAUUAUUGGGCGUAAAGAGCUCGUAGGCGGUUCGGUAAGUCAGAUGUAAAAACUCCAGGCUCAACUUGGAGAGGCCAUCUGAUACUGCCGUGACUAGAGUCCGGUAGAGGAGCACGGAAUUCCUGGUGUAGCGGUGAAAUGCGCAGAUAUCAGGAGGAACACCAGCGGCGAAGGCGGUGCUCUGGGCCGGAACUGACGCUGAGGAGCGAAAGCGUGGGGAGCGAACAGG